This 76-nucleotide ribozyme is filed under the name Crocodylus porosus (Australian saltwater crocodile). Its description in RNAcentral is "Mammalian CPEB3 ribozyme (ENSCPRG00005006478.1)". It matches the Rfam family "Mammalian CPEB3 ribozyme". From Rfam's summary of the family: The mammalian CPEB3 ribozyme is a self cleaving RNA located in the second intron of the CPEB3 gene which belongs to a family of genes regulating messenger RNA polyadenylation. Lineage: Eukaryota; Metazoa; Chordata; Crocodylia; Crocodylidae. The record is from RNAcentral.
AGAUGGCCAUAACUGCCAUAGCAAAAAUGCUCACAUCACGGCCCUGUCAAAUUCCAAUGAAUCUGCAAAUUCUGCU